CGAUUAUGAAUAACGUUUUUUAUCAGAGGUUUAUAAGAGUGUUUUAAGCCUAUCAAACGUUUUAGCUAAUGUAGGUUUUAAACCUAUAUUAGCAUU
Ostrinia furnacalis (Asian corn borer) is the source of this 96-nucleotide long non-coding RNA. RefSeq lists it as uncharacterized. Lineage: Eukaryota; Metazoa; Arthropoda; Insecta; Lepidoptera; Crambidae. The transcript is spliced from 2 exons. The record is from RefSeq and is a predicted model, not a curated record.